This is a long non-coding RNA of Cyprinus carpio (common carp), 332 nucleotides long. RefSeq lists it as uncharacterized. The transcript has 2 exons. The record is from RefSeq and is a predicted model, not a curated record. Lineage: Eukaryota; Metazoa; Chordata; Actinopteri; Cypriniformes; Cyprinidae.
CCCAGCUCAAUUCUGUACCCCGAGCUGGACAUUCCAUCAUUACCAUGCCUAUCACAUACAAACAGGGUUCUGUGAAUGAGCAAGAGGAACUUCCAGAGUCAGCCCCACAAACACUUCUGGUUUUUGGUGGAGGUGAUAACGAAGGGAGCUUCUUCUCUGACCUUUUCACUAUCCCAGUAGAGGAGCUAAAAGACUAAACCUUGCAUCAGGAUUUGGUUUUACAUGCUUUUUUUUUUUUUUUAAUAUUAGUUUUAUGUUGUGGUGUUUCAGCUUUAGUUUUUUUUGUGUGUGUGUUGAUGCUUGUGUAUUUAAAGAGGUCUAUUACACUUUCA